GAUGAACGCUAGCGACAGGCUUAACACAUGCAAGUCGAGGGGCAGCGGUGGUGAAGGCUUGCCUUUACCAGCCGGCGACCGGCGCACGGGUGAGUAACACGUAUGCAACCUGCCUGCCACAGCCGGAUAAUCGGGAGAAAUCCCGUCUAAUACGGCAUAAUGCACCUAUGGGACAUCCUGUUGGUGCCAAAGGUUAAUUCCGGUGGCGGAUGGGCAUGCGUCGCAUUAGUUAGUUGGCGGUGUAACGGACCACCAAGACGACGAUGCGUAGGGGUUCUGAGAGGAAGGCCCCCCACACUGGUACUGAGACACGGACCAG
RNAcentral lists this ribosomal RNA (319 nucleotides) under uncultured bacterium. RNAcentral describes it as "bacterial SSU rRNA". It matches the Rfam family "Bacterial small subunit ribosomal RNA", at positions 28 to 334 of the family's 1533-position model. The record is from RNAcentral.